RNAcentral lists this ribosomal RNA (505 nucleotides) under uncultured bacterium. RNAcentral's name for it is "partial 16S ribosomal RNA". It matches the Rfam family "Bacterial small subunit ribosomal RNA", at positions 28 to 507 of the family's 1533-position model. The record is from RNAcentral.
GACGAACGCUGGCGGCGUGCCUAAUACAUGCAAGUAGAACGCACAGUUUAUACCGUAGCUUGCUACACCAUAAACUGUGAGUUGCGAACGGGUGAGUAACGCGUAGGUAACCUGCCUGGUAGCGGGGGAUAACUAUUGGAAACGAUAGCUAAUACCGCAUAAUAUUGAUUAUUGCAUGAUAAUUGAUUGAAAGAUGCUAUUGCAUCACUACCAGAUGGACCUGCGUUGUAUUAGCUAGUAGGUGAGGUAACGGCUCACCUAGGCGACGAUACAUAGCCCACCUGAGAGGGUGAUCGGCCACACUGGGACUGAGACACGGCCCAGACUCCUACGGGAGGCAGCAGUAGGGAAUCUUCGGCAAUGGACGAAAGUCUGACCGAGCAACGCCGCGUGAGUGAAGAAGGUUUUCGGAUCGUAAAGCUCUGUUGUAAGAGAAGAACGGGUGUGAGAGUGGAAAGUUCACACUGUGACGGUAUCUUACCAGAAAGGGACGGCUAACUACGUG